RNAcentral lists this ribosomal RNA (206 nucleotides) under uncultured bacterium. Its description in RNAcentral is "partial 16S ribosomal RNA". It matches the Rfam family "Bacterial small subunit ribosomal RNA", at positions 568 to 774 of the family's 1533-position model. The record is from RNAcentral.
CACGUAGGCGGAUCGAUCAGUUAGGGGUGAAAUCCCAGGGCUCAACCCUGGAACUGCCUCUAAUACUGUCGAUCUGGAGUUCGAGAGAGGUGAGUGGAAUUCCGAGUGUAGAGGUGAAAUUCGUAGAUAUUCGGAGGAACACCAGUGGCGAAGGCGGCUCACUGGCUCGAUACUGACGCUGAGGUGCGAAAGCGUGAGAGCAAACA